AUGGGUUCAGACAAGUAUAUAAUAACAGGUAUUCACCAUUAUAGUAUCAUACAGAGUAUUUUCACUGCCCUAAAAAUCCUUCCGGGCUUUGCCUGUUCAUUCCUCUCUCACUCCUAAUUCCUGGCAACCACUGAUACUUUUGCCUUUUCUAGAAUAUCAUAUAUUUGGAAUCAUACAGUAGAUAAUCUUUUCAGAUAGACUUCUUUCACUUAGUAAUAUGCACUUAAGUUUUCUCCAGGUCUUUUUUUGGCUUGAUAGCUCAUUUCUUUUUAGUGCUGAAUCAUAUUUCAUUGUCUUAAUGAACCACAGUUUAUUUAGCCAUUCACCUACAGAAGGACAUUUGGUUGCUUCCAAGUUUUGGCAAUUAUGGAUAAAGCUGCUAUCAACAUCCAUAUACAGGUUUUCAUGUAGACGUAAGUUUUCAACUCCUUUGUGUAAAUACCAAAGAGUGUGUUUGCUGGGUUAUAUGGCAAAAACAUGUUUGCUUUUGUAAGAAACCACCAAAAUGUCUUCCAAAGUGGCUGUAUGAUUUUGCAUUCCCACCAGCUGUCACUGCUAAUUGGGCAGACCUCCUUUAGAGAUGUCACCAAAGAUAGUGUAAUGCUCUUCACUGUAGGCAUUUAUGAUCUAUACAAGAAUAACAGUGGAUUCUGGGUCAGUGCCUUUAUUUUAUCCUGCCAAGUUCAAGAGAAAGGUUUUUUCUUAUUCUAAGAGAAGACUGUUAUGGUAAAUUAAAAGGAAGAAAUAUAUAAUUACUCUUCUGUUGAGGAGGGAGAAGAAGGAAACACUGUGAUGUAAAUGGCAGAAAUUCAAUAAUUUAAUUCAAACUAAAGAGAACGGGAAUGUAUUGAAUUCAGGAAUGGAAUGUAACGGGAAACUCCACUGGUGGUCUUCAGGCAUGGCUGAAUCCCAUGUCUCAAAUGAUAUCAUCAGGAAUAUGUUCCUCCCAUCCCUCAGCUCUGUGUUCCUUGGUGUGGUCUUUACUUUUUCCACUUGGUAAUAUGAAUGUCCUCCAAUAUCCUCCCCUACUGCCAGAGAUACCAGAGAAAGGAGAGCUUCUCUGAUAGUUCCAUCAAAACUCCCAGGGAUGACUCUGAUUGGUCAGCCUGCAUCACAUGCCAAUUUUAUUGGUCAAGGAAGUGGGACCAUGUGAUUGACAUGAGUAUAAGACAAUCUGUUCCUGAAAGAAAAGGGUGCUGGGGGAAAAGGCAACAGAUGUCCACCACAGCAUGUUUUUUCCCUUUACUGGUUAUUAUCUCUUUUUAGACUCCCUCAGCACUGGACAGCCGAGACCACGAAGGACUUGGGACCCUUUCUAGUACUUUUCUCAGGAGAUGAAUUAAGCUCUAUAGCCACAAAG
RNAcentral lists this small RNA (1360 nucleotides) under Pan troglodytes (chimpanzee). Its description in RNAcentral is "retained intron". The record is from RNAcentral. Lineage: Eukaryota; Metazoa; Chordata; Mammalia; Primates; Hominidae.